GGGAGGCUGAGGCAGGAGAAUCGCUUGAACCCGGCUGCAGUGAGCUGAGAUAGCACAACUGCAAUCCAGCCUGGGCGACAGAGUGAGAUUCCAUCUCAAAAAAAACUUCAUGUAUAAUAUAUCCACAUACAUACAUAUGAAAUUAGAUGUAUACAUGUAUACAUACAAUGCACACAUAACUACUAUAUUUUACAUAUAGAUAUCAUACUAAUAUAUGCUACACAUACAUGUGCACAUUCAUAUACAUUAAAUGAAUACAAAUUGAAGCAUCUUUUUUUUAUUCAGAUUUUUCCAGUCAAGUAAAUUGUCUCAAGGCCCCUGGCCCAGGUCUGAGUGUCACUACCAGAAGGAUCCACCAGAUGGCACUCCUUCGCUACUUCCUGUACUCCCAACUUGCCAGAGAUGUCGCCUCUUUCCGCUAAGGCACAAAACUUGCAGAGCCAGGUGUUCCCCAGGCGCUUCCCCGCACGCCACCGCCCGCUCCGCACAUCGACCCCCCCGGUCACCA
This 508-nucleotide long non-coding RNA is filed under the name Homo sapiens (human). RNAcentral describes it as "HSALNT0167185". Lineage: Eukaryota; Metazoa; Chordata; Mammalia; Primates; Hominidae. The record is from RNAcentral.